RNAcentral lists this ribosomal RNA (468 nucleotides) under uncultured bacterium. RNAcentral describes it as "partial 16S ribosomal RNA". It matches the Rfam family "Bacterial small subunit ribosomal RNA", at positions 28 to 507 of the family's 1533-position model. The record is from RNAcentral.
GACGAACGCUGGCGGCGUGCUUAACACAUGCAAGUCGAACGGAAAGGCCCUGCUUUUGUGGGGUGCUCGAGUGGCGAACGGGUGAGUAACACAUGAGUAACCUGCCCUUGACUUUGUGAUAACAUCAGGAAACUCGGGCUCAUACCGGAUAGGAGCUCCUGCUCCACGUUGGGGGUUGGAGAAUUUCGGCGGUGGGGGAUGGUCUGGCGGCUUAUGAGCUUGAUGGUGUGGUAGUGGCGUACGAAGCGUUAGACGGGUAGCCGGCCUGGGAGGGUUACCGGCGACAAUGGUACUGAGAGAGGGACCAGAAGGGUACGUGAGGCAGAAGGGGGGAGCAUUGCAGAAUGAGGCGAAGCGUGAGGCAGCAACGUUGCGUGCGGGAUGAUGGGUUACGGGUGGAAAACCGAUUUGGCAGUAGACGAACCGGUAGUGACGGUAAUUGGUAAAAAAGCAACGGCUAACUACGUG